CACAAAGUCAAUAUUGAGUUUUUUUCUUCGGUUGCGUAUGGAACGCAAUUAACGUUCUGUUUCAAAACGUUAGUCACUAGUUUUAUUUUGAAAGCGUACCCGGACGUUGCAUAAUUAUUGUUGCUAACUUCACCGCCGAGACGUCCAAAACCGACACUAAAGGGGUCUUAAGGCGUUAACCCAGGCCGUAAUAAAGCUGAGACCUAAGAAGCCUAACUGAGAAUUUUUUCAAUCUCAUUUGUAAUGUUCUGUAUGGCCUAGAUAGUCUUUACUUUACAGAGAAAAUACUUUUUUACUUCGACGCAUUUAUAUGGUUUUUCAUUUUUCAUCAAAUACAAUCAUUAAGCACAUCAUUGAUGAGCUGGUAGUGAUAGAUGAUCUGUCUCAGAGAAACGGUACCAGCCCUGUCACGAUUUGGCCAAUGGACCUGAAUCUGAUUCUGAUUCAAGUAAAGUGUCUGAGUACUUCUUACACCACUUAAGGUAUCCAGUAGUGGUGGAAACGAUUGCAGUGAUGAGGGGUGGAGAUGAGUUGUGACAACAAGGAACACCAACAAGUGCAAUGGGAUAUAAUAAGACAUGGCUAUUGACCCCUUCACCUCCAUAAAAGAAAGGAGAAAGAGAAGAUCAAAUAACAUGAGUGAAAUACACCCUUGACUGCUAGCUGUUCUUUUCUGGUUGAAUUUCUCUGUGUGGCUGCACGUGUGUAUUUGACUCCUUGCUGUGUGGUUAUUGAUGUUAUGGAGGCUAUAUGAUAUGCUGUGCUUUGUCUGUCCGGCCACUGCUGAUACUGCCUACCAUGGUUUUCAAUAAUUUGUAAUUUCCCAAAUUUUACAUUAUUGGUUACUCAGUCGUCUGCUGAUGGUCUGUGAUUUGUGAGUAGAGCCAGGUUUGCUAGUUGCUUGUACGAAUUUCUUCAUUUUUGUUUUGUUUUUAAGAUGUGUUGCAUUAUGAGUAAAAAGAAUGAUAAGUAGGUAACUACUGCAUUUGAAAGCUGUCUUGUGUAAUUUUAACUUUUGAAAUUUAUAACGCAUAAAUAUCCCACAAUAACAGAAAGCCCACCAAACAGUAUUCUCAAAGCCAUCAGCAUAUCUUAUAGCGUUUCUCUUUUCAAAAGAGCUUUUCUAAUGUCGCUGCCUUUACAAUUAAUCUCUAUUCUUUCCAUAUUUAAAACCAAUGUAUUAAAAUGUGUUUUAUGAAAUGUGUUGACACUGCAGUGGGGCUAUAACCCUUCUACUGAUACAUCAAG
Long non-coding RNA from Micropterus dolomieu (smallmouth bass), 1248 nucleotides. RefSeq lists it as uncharacterized. The record is from RefSeq and is a predicted model, not a curated record. NCBI's taxonomy places the organism in Eukaryota, Metazoa, Chordata, Actinopteri, Centrarchiformes, Centrarchidae. The transcript is spliced from 3 exons.